AUUAUACUCCCUUCGUUCAGAAAUACUUGUCUGAGAAACGGAUCAAAAUGGAUGUAUCUAGAACUUAAAAACAUCUAGAUACAUCCUUUUAUACGACAAGUAUUUUCGGGCGGAGGGAGUAUUUU
Molecule: non-coding RNA, 125 nt
Organism: Triticum aestivum (bread wheat)
Lineage: Eukaryota; Viridiplantae; Streptophyta; Magnoliopsida; Poales; Poaceae
Source: Rfam